UGUCACGACCAUCUAUAGAAAUAAGAAUUGGAAACCGUGAGAUCUCCGUAUUUAAGCUUCUGCAAUCCAUGUAAGUACUCAAGAGAGAGAUUAUUGAAGAAAGCGUGGGGUCAUGAUUU
This 119-nucleotide ribosomal RNA is filed under the name Edhazardia aedis USNM 41457. The record is from RNAcentral. Lineage: Eukaryota; Fungi; Microsporidia; Culicosporidae.